AGGAUUAACGCUGGCGGCGUGCCUAACACAUGCAAGUCGAACGAGGGGGGCAACCCCCGAGUGGCAGACGGGUGAGUAACGCGUGGUCAACCUACCCUAGAGUGGGGAAUAACUAGCCGAAAGGUUAGCUAAUACCGCAUGAUACGUUUUGGGACAUCCCAGGACGUUGAAAGGAGCAAUCCGCUCGAGGACGGGACCGCGUCCGAUUAGCUAGUUGGUGAGGUAACGGCCCACCAAGGCUCCGAUCGGUAGCUGGUUUGAGAGAGCGACCAGCCACACUGGGACUGAGAAACGGCCCAGACUCCUACGGGAGGCAGCAGUGAGGAAUUUUCCGCAAUGGGCGAAAGCCUGACGGAGCGACGCCGCGUGUGGGAAGAAGGCCUUCGGGUCGUAAACCACUGUCGAAGGGGACUAUACUGAAGGUACCUUGGAGGAAGCCCCGGCUAACUACGUGCCAGCAGCCGC
Molecule: ribosomal RNA, 465 nt
Filed under: uncultured bacterium
Lineage: Bacteria
Description: SSU rRNA
Rfam family: Bacterial small subunit ribosomal RNA
Source: RNAcentral